GUGCUCUCUAGGGCAGCAAAUAAUCUAAAAUCCCAAUGAUACAGAGAAGAUGAGGACGGCCCUGGUGCGAGGAUGACAGGUGGAUUCAUGAAGCGUUCUGUAUUUUU
Hypanus sabinus (Atlantic stingray) is the source of this 107-nucleotide small nuclear RNA. NCBI's taxonomy places the organism in Eukaryota, Metazoa, Chordata, Chondrichthyes, Myliobatiformes, Dasyatidae. The record is from RefSeq and is a predicted model, not a curated record.